UGGAACAGUAUUUGCAGUCAGGAAUGUGGUGCUGCAGUCAAGGUCCUUCAUGGCCUUCAUGACUGAAACCAAACAGGUUCAGGGCAGGAAGGAUUCAAGGACGGGUCCACCAACAGCAUUAGGAGAGCAGAUAAAACCUCGGGAAAUCUCUGAAUCCAAGUGGUGGGAUGAGCUUGGUCCCUCUUGUUCCCCAAAACAGAUGAAAAGGCAGGGAAGAGUGUUAAGAUGAAUUUGAUGAAGAAGAACCCACAGCUAGAUGCCUGGGACUAGGAUGAGCUUCAGGUUUGGCUCUGACAUCACUGAAAUACUUCAGCAAAAUAUCAGGACUAAUGUCAGGAAUAAACCAGCAUUGUUAGUUCCUCCUUUCAUCCGAAGCCAAACACCUGCAGCUCUCUGCAGGACUCAAAGAAGACCUCGCUGCCUAGAAAUGCCCAAACAGGACUCCUUCUCCAAUGCUGUGCUGUUGCAGGAAAUGGAUUCAUUAAUGGGAAAAGCUCAAGUUACAGACUCCAGCAAAACUGCAAAGAAAAGAAAAAAGAGGCAGGCCAGAUCCUCAGCUGAUGUCAAUUAGCAGAGCUCUGUCAAUGUCAAAAACUAUCCUGGUUUACAGCAGCUGAAGAUUUGGCUUGGGAGCUUCCAGCUUUUUGAAGCUCCCAUUUGUUAUGCAAGGAUGUGUUGUUAGUGCUGCUCUUUCUCAUGUAGACCUAUAAAUGGGCUCCUGGGCUUGUUUUCUCCAUGUCUACCAGGUUGUUUCACAGAGCUCUGCUGGUCUGCUCAGGAGAAAGCAAUGUGCUGGCCUCUGCCAGGCCACCCAGGCUGCUAUAUGUUGCUUCCACGGGUGGAGAUGGCAGUGGUGCAAGGGAUUUGUCUCUUGAGAGACUGCGAGCUGAUAAGGAGUAUGGGAACUCCACCAGAAAGGCGGGAAAUAUCAGAUAUCCACAGCUUCGGUGAGGCCCAAGAAAAUGUGUUUAUGCUUUAAAGCUGCUGUUUGCUGUCUGAGUAGUCUUUUUUUUUAUUGAUUCCACAACUUUGCACCAGCUAAACCUACUGGAAGAUAGAGUUUUUCAGCUUACAUACAAUAUUUAAUUCCAUAUACAUGCACUAUUAUGUUGAAAGGACUAACCUGGUAUCUCCAUGUCCCAGACUGCAUUAUAUCAGACCAGCUGGAAGUUAGUAUUAGUGCAGAGAUUUGCACCAUACCUUACUGCUCAGUCUAAAUGUUCUUUACCUUUGAUAUUCCCAUACAGAAAAUAAUAAUGAAAAAAAAAGGGCUUACCUCUAUGUGACUAUUUCAAGUUGUUACCACAGUUAAGAAUAGAGGGGUUGGUGUCUAAGUCUUCCUAUCCUGGAAAUGAUAUAUAUGGAUGCACG
Molecule: long non-coding RNA, 1371 nt
Filed under: Anas platyrhynchos platyrhynchos (common mallard)
Lineage: Eukaryota; Metazoa; Chordata; Aves; Anseriformes; Anatidae
Description: lncRNA (ENSAPLG00000028826.1)
Source: RNAcentral